AUUCUUCGGAGACAUUGAAAUCUCGUCGAAGUUGGAGUAGAAGUGAGAGUGACCCUCAGAUUAAAAAAUGAAACUUUACGUUUUGGUCCUCGCGAUUCUGUCGAUCGCUGUGCUCGUCGCAUCAGCGCCUGCCUCUUCGGAGGACUCUAGUUCGGAUUCGGAUUCGGCAGUGGACGUCGCGGGCACUCCUCCCGCCGGCGGUGCUGACUUCAGUGUUGGAGGAGUUGAGAGUUCUGGGAGGGAAAAACGUCAUGCCCAACGCGCCCCCCACUGGGCGGAACUUGUAAUCAAGGGGCCGCCGCACGGAAAAUAGAAAAUGCAAUGUUCCAUCAAAAACCAUUACUCGACUCUUUAAGUCGGAAUGACAAUUAGGAAAUGCUAUGUAAACUUGGUUCCUGCAUAUCAAUAAAUUCUCAAGAUGCAUACAACGCAUACAAA
This is a long non-coding RNA of Diachasma alloeum, 438 nucleotides long. RefSeq lists it as uncharacterized. The transcript has 2 exons. NCBI's taxonomy places the organism in Eukaryota, Metazoa, Arthropoda, Insecta, Hymenoptera, Braconidae. The record is from RefSeq and is a predicted model, not a curated record.